UGAGGAAUAUUGGUCAAUGGGCGAGAGCCUGAACCAGCCAAGUAGCGUGCAGGACGACGGCCCUAUGGGUUGUAAACUGCUUUUUAUAAGGGAAUAAAGUGAGUCUCGUGAGACUUUUUGCAUGUACCUUAUGAAUAAGGACCGGCUAAUUCCGUGCCAGCAGCCGCGGUAAUACGGAAGGUCCGGGCGUUAUCCGGAUUUAUUGGGUUUAAAGGGAGCGUAGGCCGGAGAUUAAGCGUGUUGUGAAAUGUAGACGCUCAACGUCUGCACUGCAGCGCGAACUGGUUUCCUUGAGUACGUGCGAGGGAGGCGGAAUGCGUUGUGUAGCGGUGAAAUGCAUAGAUAUGACGCAGAACUCCGAUUGCGAAGGCAGCUUUCCAGCACGCCACUGACGCUGAGGCACGAAAGCGUGGGGAUC
Molecule: ribosomal RNA, 418 nt
Filed under: uncultured Prevotella sp.
Lineage: Bacteria; Pseudomonadati; Bacteroidota; Bacteroidia; Bacteroidales; Prevotellaceae
Description: bacterial SSU rRNA
Rfam family: Bacterial small subunit ribosomal RNA
Source: RNAcentral